Lolium perenne is the source of this 1898-nucleotide long non-coding RNA. RefSeq lists it as uncharacterized. The record is from RefSeq and is a predicted model, not a curated record. NCBI's taxonomy places the organism in Eukaryota, Viridiplantae, Streptophyta, Magnoliopsida, Poales, Poaceae.
UCGCCACCCGACACGGUUCGUGGCUGCUCAUGUCGGGGACAGACCCAGGUAGAGACGCGUAGGGGCCCGGUACUCCAUCCCCAACCUCUCUCCCCGGCCAUCUCUUCCGGUCGCGGCAACUGCUCCCCGGCCAUCCCAACCUCUCUCCUCUCCUCGUGUUGUAGGUGCUGGGAAAAGAUCCUUGAUUUCCCCCAGCCACCACUCCAUCCCCCAACCUCUCUCCUCUCCUUGUUGCAGUGCCACCAGGUAGCUACACGGUGCCGCCGGGAGUCCUGUCCCUGGAGGCGUCUCCACCGUGCCGUUGAUCAAGCAGCAUGGUCUGCGGCGUGCAGGCAAUGGCCGCUGUGGUCUGCGGUCUCCAUAUAUCCAUCUUCUUCCUCCGGUAUCGAAGGGUGAGAAGGAGGGCCGAGGGUGGAAGAGAUCCCGCGACGUUUGACGCCGGGAAGCACAUGUAGGCGGCUUGAGUGAGAAGGGACUAGGAGGCGGUCAACAUCGGGAAGAGAAGCAGCGGCCGGAGGUAGGAAGGGAGUUGACCAUCUAGAGCCUAUUUGUUCUUCUCAUUUAUUUUCUGAUCCGAUUUGGUUUGUUUUACGAACUAGAUUUGCUUCCACUUUUGCUCGUGUUCCUGGUACUUUGGUCAUAUAUAUCUGGAGGGAAUAUGUUGUUGACGAUGUGUUUCCGUUCAACCCAGAUCCAAUUUGUUCAUUAGCUGUUCUUCAUCUUUCAUCUUCAUGCCAUGCAUCAUAGGCACACCAAUUUUUUCUUCCAUUUACUGUAGAAAAAUACUAUGUUUUUUCUUCAUUGUAGCAUGUGUUCGCAGUGGCAUGUACAAGUCUGACCAUAUUUUCCUCUGGAAUUUCUGAUGCGGCACAUUUUGUUUGACGUAGUCCUGUGCACUUGACAAAUUAGAAUGUGGUGUCUCAUGUGUUCCAGAUUCAUUAAUUUUGGAUCCAAGUGUGCAGUAUUCCAUCCCUCUUAUCUUCUCUCUUUCACCAAGGAUUUGUAGCAUAUGGUUUUUGUGUCAGAUUAUUUCCGUGACUUGAGUUCCGAAUUGUUUCCGGGUUAAUGGUAUAAUUCUUACAUAGUAUUUGUUUCCAAGUUAAUUGAUUAGCUCAUAAAACAAAGAUGCAAAAGCCUUCAAUAUAUAAUAUAAAAUUGGGCAGCGGUAUCUAGCAAUCUAUUCUGUCAAUGCAAACAAUUUGUAUCAGUGCAAAGAACACUAGCAAUCUAUUCUAUCCAUGCAAAGAACACUAGCAAUCUAUUCUGUCAAUGCAAAGAACACUAGCAAUCAGUUUUCCAUUUUCUCUUGCAAACAAAUGCUUGCUAGCUCAACUUGCUACCCUGGUUCCACUAAGAAAAAAAGUAAGUAGGCAAAAAAACAGUAGGAAUCUCUUCUGUAAUUGCUAAUUUUCUAAGUCUAGCAACCAUCCAAAAAAAUAAGAUGAUGGGAUGCAUCUCUUCUGUCUAUGCUAAUUUUUUGACUUUAGAUCGGACAUGGGGAUUCAGGUUACGAAACAGACAGCCUUGGAUACCGUGGCCACGGCGUUGAAGAACCUAUUGACGGGGAGGAGAUACUUGACGAGGUUGUUGCCGGCCAUGCCGUCGAGGAGGAGCAUGUCGCGGAGAAGCGGAGAACUGGUAUUCUUCAGAAGAAACCACGCAGGUAGAACAAAUGUAGCGCCUGUGGAGGCACCGGCCAUAACUCUGCGACAUGUACUGCUGGAGUGGAAGUAGCAGAUGCUUUGUGCAAGGACUCCAACUAUAUCUUAGCUAUUUUCUUGACAUUAUCUGUUGUUUUUUUUAGAUGAACUCUGCAAUACCGUAUCUUGGCUACUGUAAGGGAUUUCUAAUGUAAUUUUGUUGACCUGUUCUAUUGCAUUUCCAGUUCAGCUCUGCAA